Molecule: ribosomal RNA, 553 nt
Filed under: uncultured bacterium
Lineage: Bacteria
Description: partial 16S ribosomal RNA
Rfam family: Bacterial small subunit ribosomal RNA
Source: RNAcentral
UAGGGAAUCUUCCACAAUGGACGCAAGUCUGAUGGAGCAACGCCGCGUGAGUGAAGAAGGUUUUCGGACCGUAAAGCUCUGUUGUUGGUGAAGAAGGAUAGAGGUAGUAACUGGCCCUUUAUUUGACGGUAAUCAACCAGAAAGUCACGGCUAACUACGUGCCAGCAGCCGCGGUAAUCGUAGGUGGCAAGCGUUGUCCGGAUUUAUUGGGCGUAAAGCGAGCGCAGGCGGAAGAAUAAGUCUGAUGUGAAAGCCCUCGGCUUAACCGAGGAAUUGCAUCGGAAACUGUUUUCUUGAGUGCAGAAGGGGAGAGUAGAACUCCAUGUGUAGCGGUGGAAUGCGUAGAUAUAUGGAAGAAUACCAGUGGCGAAGGCGGCUCUCUGGUCUGCAACUGACGCUGAGGCUCGAAAGCAUGGGUAGCGAACAGGAUUAGAUACCCUGGUAGUCCAUGCCGUAAACGAUGAGUGCUAAGUGUUGGGAGGCUUCCGCCUCUCAGUGCUGCAGCUAACGCAUUAAGCACUCCGCCUGGGGAGUACGACCGCAAGGUUGAAAC